GGGGCAUCUAGCUGGCUUUUCCUAAUAACUCACACAGUCGUCCUCAUCUUGUUUAAGUAUGGCUUACUUCUCUGAGGGUCUUUGAUCCCCUGACUGCAGACACUCUGGCACCAGGGAGCCUUAAAGGUCAAGGAGUGAAGAUACACACAGAGAUGGACUAACAUGCAUGGUUACUACAAGAAAGGUCAUUUGAUUUCAUGGGGCUCUUGGGGCCAUCACAGAGUCUCAGGAGAGUAUUUCCAGAAGGAUGUAACUGAAGAAGGAAGACACACCCGAAAAAUGGAAACGUAUCUCUCGGUGUGCCUAUCAGGGUAUUUCCCCCGAAAGCUUUGAUGGAAGAAGAAAG
This 346-nucleotide long non-coding RNA is filed under the name Cricetulus griseus (Chinese hamster). RNAcentral describes it as "lncRNA (ENSCGRG00015036988.1)". The record is from RNAcentral. Lineage: Eukaryota; Metazoa; Chordata; Mammalia; Rodentia; Cricetidae.